GGAGAGAGUAAUCACAGAACUGCCGUCAAAGGGUAGUUGGAAGAUUCAGUGUGGCGUGGAAGGUGCUUCGUCGGUGCCCACCGCUGCUGGAGUUGCUUGAAUCUGUACCGUUAAUUCUCCCUCCCUAGGCGAGACUCCCGACUGCGGCCCAUGGGCCUCUGAGGAGGCGUUUUAAGUCUGCCCAGCUCCCCACGUGCUGUGCUUCCACUCAAUGGGAAGGGAACCCAGGCCUUGUGCAGCCAUCAGCCACGGCCUCUCUACAGCACCAGGAUGGAAGUCAAAGGUCAGCUGAUCAGCUCGCCCACUUUCAAUGCCUCAGCUGCCCUGUUCGGAGAGGCUGCCCCCCAGGUGAAGUCAGAGCGUUUGCGGGGGCUGCUCGACCGGCAGCGGGCCCUGCAGGA
RNAcentral lists this long non-coding RNA (401 nucleotides) under Ursus maritimus (polar bear). RNAcentral describes it as "lncRNA (ENSUMAG00000007083.1)". Lineage: Eukaryota; Metazoa; Chordata; Mammalia; Carnivora; Ursidae. The record is from RNAcentral.